This is a long non-coding RNA of Felis catus (domestic cat), 1297 nucleotides long. RefSeq lists it as uncharacterized. The transcript has 3 exons. NCBI's taxonomy places the organism in Eukaryota, Metazoa, Chordata, Mammalia, Carnivora, Felidae. The record is from RefSeq and is a predicted model, not a curated record.
GCUAGAGACACAGCAUCAAGGAUUAACCCAAACAAGGAGGACACACGGGAUGCUGGUGGGGGCGUGGGGACAGGAGGCCCCGAGUCUGUGCACCUCCAAGGACACGGCUAAUUCAACCCAGCGCCCCCAACCAGCCAUCGAACGUGAUCAGAGGCAAGCAGGCAGCAGGAAAAAGAGGGAGGCAGGUGACACAGAGGAGAAGGCAGUUUUGCACGUAGCCAUUCGUGGCUGUGAGAACAAACAUAAAUGUAUCUGAGAGAUCAUUAAAAUGCAUAAGACAGCAAUGAUUAUGUCAGAAGGAAUGGGCUUGAAGACACCUUUCUUUCUCUACUCCCAAGUUUGCUCUCAAUUGUUUUGAAGUCAAAUCAGACAAACAUACAUGUUUUCAUGGGAAGUCUGCCAGGCUCCAGUCUCUUCUCUGUCCUUUCCGGACCCAAGGCCAGGAGCGGUUUCCAGCCGACUCGGAGUGCCUGACCUCGCAGGCAGGAGUAAGCCAGCGCCGAAGGGGCAGAGCCAAGCAGGUGCACGGCCCUCGACGUGGCCCCGUCUGGUUCGUGAAAUGAAAAACUGAAUCCGUGGCAGCAACAAAUCCCGUGGCUGAGCUUCUCCGGUGAGGCUGAGCGUAGGCUCCCUCCCUCCUUGGGGCCAUCAGACCAACGUACCGUUCUCUCCUGAAACCGGGCCUGGUGUUCGAAACGUGGCUCCUGCUCGUUGUCCACCUCAGAGGCUUCCCCUGAUGGUGAAUAGCUCCCUGGAUGAGUUUCCUGUUGCUGCUGGAACGAAGCGCCAAGCGUCGUGGCUGACGGCAACGAUUCCGGCUUUUCCAGAACGUCAUAUAAAGGAACCACGCGGGGAGCCUACAGCAUCUGGUUUCCCUCGCUUUGCGUGCGUGGGCAAUCCACCUGGGUCACGUGCAAGGUCUGUCUUCCCUUCUCACCACUGAGCAAGGCAGCUCUGUAAGAGGCACUAUGCUCCGGGUAUCCAUUCACCAGCUCAGGGACAUUUGGAUUGUUCCCACUUUUUGGCUUCUGUGAAGACAGGACACACAAUGACGUGGGACUACAUCGAGAGAGAGGUAGAGAGAGAGAGAGAGUUGUGGGCAUGGACAUGUUUCCAUUUCUCUUGGGAAAUAUCCGGGGGGGGGGGGAAUUACUGAGGCAAAUGGUAGUGUAGGCGUCAUUUUAUAAGAAACUACCAGGGCGCUUGGGUGGCUCAGUCGGUGAAGCGUCUGACUUCGGCUCAGGAUAUGAUCUCACGGUUCGUGGAUUCGAGCCCCGCGUCGGGCUCUGGGUUCGUG